UGAGCCUGCGCGUCCGGAGCCUGUGCUCCGCAACGGGAGAGGCCACAACAGUGAGAGGCCCGUCUACCGCAAAAAAAAAAAAAAGUCCUUUGGCUUCUUAGCAAAAAUACAGGUGAAAAACUGGGUUCUGCUUAAGAUUUUUGUCAUUUAUUACUAUGGGAUCUUUUAAAGGUUGCCAAAGGAUGUGAAUGGAUGAAGAGAAUAAGCUGUGAAAGAAAACAGCUUUUAAGAGCAACGUUUCUCAAAUUAGGUUCCACAGAUGGGAAGGAUCCUCAAGUUCCCUGCCAGACUGUUUAAACUUUGCGUUUUAAGUCCAUGGACAAAUUAAUUCUACAUCAUCUAUAUGACUUCUUAAUUUCAGAGCCCAAGCAUGUUUUUUGUUCCUGUUAGUCUUCCUUUAAUUGUGUGGACCAAUGAGAAACUAACAGAGUUAGAAUAUGUCAAAGGAAAACAAAAGGUACACUAUAGAAAAGUUUUUGCAGUUGUUAGAAUAAAGUAAUAAAGGAUUUGUCUUUUGUUCCUGA
Molecule: long non-coding RNA, 524 nt
Organism: Delphinapterus leucas (beluga whale)
Lineage: Eukaryota; Metazoa; Chordata; Mammalia; Artiodactyla; Monodontidae
Source: RefSeq, a predicted model, not a curated record